UACGUAGGGGGCAAGCGUUGUCCGGAAUCAUUGGGCGUAAAGAGCGUGUAGGCGGCCCGGUAAGUCCGCUGUGAAAGUCGAGGGCUCAACCCUCGAAUGCCGGCGGAUACUGUCGGGCUAGAGUCCGGAAGAGGCGAGUGGAAUUCCUGGUGUAGCGGUGAAAUGCGCAGAUAUCAGGAGGAACCCCGAUGGCGAAGGCAGCUCGCUGGGACGUUACUGACGCUGAGACGCGAAAGCGUGGGGAGCAAACAGG
Molecule: ribosomal RNA, 253 nt
Filed under: uncultured bacterium
Lineage: Bacteria
Description: partial 16S ribosomal RNA
Rfam family: Bacterial small subunit ribosomal RNA
Source: RNAcentral